GUGAACGCUGGCGGUAGGCCUAACACAUGCAAGUCGAACGGCAGCACAGUAAGAGCUUGCUCUUACGGGUGGCGAGUGGCGGACGGGUGAGGAAUACAUCGGAAUCUACUUUUUCGUGGGGGAUAACGUAGGGAAACUUACGCUAAUACCGCAUACGACCUACGGGUGAAAGCAGGGGAUCUUCGGACCUUGCGCGAUUGAAUGAGCCGAUGUCGGAUUAGCUAGUUGGCGGGGUAAAGGCCCACCAAGGCGACGAUCCGUAGCUGGUCUGAGAGGAUGAUCAGCCACACUGGAACUGAGACACGGUCCAGACUCCUACGGGAGGCAGCAGUGGGGAAAAUUGGACAAUGGGCGCAAGCCUGAUCCAGCCAUACCGCGUGGGUGAAGAAGGCCUUCGGGUUGUAAAGCCCUUUUGUUGGGAAAGAAAAGCAGCAGGUUAAUACCCCGCUGUUCUGACGGUACCCAAAGAAUAAGCACCGGCUAACUUCGUG
Molecule: ribosomal RNA, 491 nt
Filed under: uncultured bacterium
Lineage: Bacteria
Description: partial 16S ribosomal RNA
Rfam family: Bacterial small subunit ribosomal RNA
Source: RNAcentral